RNAcentral lists this ribosomal RNA (253 nucleotides) under uncultured bacterium. RNAcentral describes it as "partial 16S ribosomal RNA". It matches the Rfam family "Bacterial small subunit ribosomal RNA", at positions 524 to 776 of the family's 1533-position model. The record is from RNAcentral.
GACGAACCGUGCGAACGUUGUUCGGAUUCACUGGGCUUAAAGGGCGCGUAGGCGGGCUGUCAAGUCAGGGGUGAAAGCUUUCGGCUCAACCGGAAAAGUGCCCCUGAUACUGAUGGUCUAGAGUGAGGUAGGGGCAUGUGGAACUUCCGGUGGAGCGGUGAAAUGCGUAGAUAUCGGAAGGAACGCCGGUGGCGAAAGUGACGUGCUGAACCUCGACUGACGAUGAGGCGCGAAAGCUAGGGGAGCAAACGGG